Molecule: ribosomal RNA, 428 nt
Filed under: uncultured Bacillota bacterium
Lineage: Bacteria; Bacillati; Bacillota
Description: bacterial SSU rRNA
Rfam family: Bacterial small subunit ribosomal RNA
Source: RNAcentral
AACGCGAAGAACCUUACCAGGUCUUGACAUCCCGCUGACCGCUAUGGAGACAUAGUUUUCCCUUCGGGGACAGCGGUGACAGGUGGUGCAUGGUUGUCGUCAGCUCGUGUCGUGAGAUGUUGGGUUAAGUCCCGCAACGAGCGCAACCCUUGUUCUUAGUUGCCAUCAUUUAGUUGGGCACUCUAAGGAGACUGCCGGUGACAAACCGGAGGAAGGUGGGGAUGACGUCAAAUCAUCAUGCCCCUUAUGACCUGGGCUACACACGUGCUACAAUGGACGGUACAAACGGUUGCGAAGUCGCGAGAUGGAGCCAAUCCGAUAAAACCGUUCUCAGUUCGGAUUGUAGGCUGCAACUCGCCUACAUGAAGCCGGAAUCGCUAGUAAUCGCGGAUCAGCAUGCCGCGGUGAAUACGUUCCCGGGCCUUGUA